Molecule: ribosomal RNA, 497 nt
Filed under: uncultured bacterium
Lineage: Bacteria
Description: partial 16S ribosomal RNA
Rfam family: Bacterial small subunit ribosomal RNA
Source: RNAcentral
GACGAACGCUGGCGGCGUGCCUAAUACAUGCAAGUUGAGCGCUGAAGGUUGGUACUUGUACCAACUGGAUGAGCAGCGAACGGGUGAGUAACGCGUGGGGAAUCUGCCUUUGAGCGGGGGACAACAUUUGGAAACGAAUGCUAAUACCGCAUAAAAACUUUAAACACAAGUUUUAAGUUUGAAAGAUGCAAUUGCAUCACUCAAAGAUGAUCCCGCGUUGUAUUAGCUAGUUGGUGAGGUAAAGGCUCACCAAGGCGGUGAUACAUAGCCGACCUGAGAGGGUGAUCGGCCACAUUGGGACUGGGACAAGGCCCAAACUCCUACGGGAGGCAGCAGUAGGGAAACUUCGGACAUGGACGAAAGUCUGACCGAGCAACGCCGCGGGAGUGAAGAAGGUUUUCGGAUCGUAAAACUCUGUUGGUAGAGAAGAAAGUUGGUGAGAGUGGAAAGCUCAUCAAGUGACGGUAACUACCCAGAAAGGGACGGCUAACUACGUG